RNAcentral lists this long non-coding RNA (285 nucleotides) under Physcomitrium patens. Its description in RNAcentral is "long non-coding RNA (PPAT_LNC009629)". Lineage: Eukaryota; Viridiplantae; Streptophyta; Bryopsida; Funariales; Funariaceae. The record is from RNAcentral.
GUUUUCAGUGAGAUACCACUCUUUUGUUCAUAACAGGGCAUUCUGAGAUUCUGCUAGUGCAAACUUCGUUUGGUGACUUUAAGCUUUUAGAGACUCCUUCUCUCAAUAUUUUUUGAUACACUCCUCCUUAGACAUGGCUUCUAGUAAGGGUGAAGGUUUGAGAGUGAUUGAGAAGUUUAGAGGCAACAAUUUCUACCAUUGGAAGGUCAAAAUGGAGCUUUUGUUGGCGUCUUUGGACCUUUGGGACAUUGUAGAUGAGAGUGAAGACCCUUCAAGCAUAGAUGC